This 250-nucleotide ribosomal RNA is filed under the name uncultured bacterium. Its description in RNAcentral is "partial 16S ribosomal RNA". It matches the Rfam family "Bacterial small subunit ribosomal RNA", at positions 524 to 773 of the family's 1533-position model. The record is from RNAcentral.
UACGGAGGGGGCAAGCGUUGUUCGGAAUUACUGGGCGUAAAGGGCGCGUAGGCGGAAUGUCAAGUUAGGGGUGAAAGGCCUGGGCUCAACCUAGGAACUGCCUUUAAAACUGAUGAUCUAGAGUCCGGAAGAGGAUGGCGGAAUUCCCAGUGUAGAGGUGAAAUUCGUAGAUAUUGGGAAGAACACCGGUGGCGAAGGCGGCCAUCUGGUCCGGUACUGACGCUGAGGCGCGAAAGCGUGGGGAGCAAAC